RNAcentral lists this long non-coding RNA (654 nucleotides) under Rattus norvegicus (Norway rat). RNAcentral's name for it is "long non-coding RNA NONRATT028791". The record is from RNAcentral. Lineage: Eukaryota; Metazoa; Chordata; Mammalia; Rodentia; Muridae.
UCUUCUACUCCUGAGAUUCUCUCUUCCAUCUCUUGUAUUCUGUUGGUGAAGCUCGUAUCUACAGCUCCUUGUCUCUUCUUUUGGUUUUCUAUAUCCAGGGUUGUUUCCAUGUGUUCUUUCUUGAUUGCUUCUAUUUCCAUUUUUAAUUCCUUCAACUGUUUGAUUGUGUUUUCCUGGAAUUCUUUCAGAGAUUUUUGUGACUCCUCUCUAGGGGCUUCUACUUGUUUAUUUAUGAUUUCCUGGAAUUCUUUCAGGGAUUUUUGUGACUCCUCUCUAUGGGCUUCUACUUGUUUAAUUAUGAUUUCCUGGAAUUCCUUCCGGGAUUUUUGCGAUUCCUCUCUGUAGGCUUCUACUUGUUCUCUAAGGGAGUUCUUCACGUCUUUCUUGAAGUCCUCCAGCAUCAUGAUCAAAUAUGAUUUUGAAACUAGAUCUUGCUUUUCUGGUGUGUUUGGAUAUUCCGUGUUUGCUUUGGUGGGAGAAUUGGGCUCCGAUGAUGCCAUGUAGUCUUGGUUUCUGUUGCUUGGGUUCCUGCGCUUGCCUCUUGCCAUCAGAUUAUCUCUAGUGUUACUUUGUUCUCCUAUUUCUGACAGUGGCUAGACUGUCCUAUAAGCCUGUGUGUCAGGAGUGCUGUAGACCUGUUUUCCUGUUUUCUUU